Pecten maximus is the source of this 3220-nucleotide long non-coding RNA. RefSeq lists it as uncharacterized. The record is from RefSeq and is a predicted model, not a curated record. The transcript has 2 exons. Lineage: Eukaryota; Metazoa; Mollusca; Bivalvia; Pectinida; Pectinidae.
UCUUUCAUUCAAAUUUACUGAAAUAUUUCAAAAAUCAGGUGACCAUUAAGGCCCAUGGGCCUCUUGUUUAUAAUUAUUAUAUAAUUAAUGAAAAUAUAUUAGACAUAUCCAGAUUACAGCUUUGGUGACGGGAAGAGAACUGUAAUUCAUGAUUUACAUCUCUGAUUCAAGGGUUCAAAAUGUUUUUAUUAAUAUAUUAUUUUUUAAGUUUAAGUUUGGAAAUCAAUCUAUUUUAUUUCAAUGGAGAUGAAUUGUCUUAUGAAACUUAUUUUAAUGGAGUUAAUUACGAGUGAGUAUUAUGGAUGAGUGGUUAAGGUUUUAACAGGAUUAGUGUUAAUUGUUCUGGCAUUAUUAUCUAUUGAUUGAUCAGGUGAUGGAAGAUUUCUUUGUCUCUUAUUUAAGUAUUUAUCAGAUUUACAUAUCAUGCCAUAAUGAUCCGUCCACUUACCAUGCUGACUGAAAAGUCCCUUACUUAUUAUCAAAGUAUAUCGGCUUACCAGCUCCUUACAUCUGGUAAUAGUUGUUGCAGGUUUAUAUAGGUUGACCAGUCCUGUACUAAGGUCUGUGUAUGUAGGCUGACCAGUCCUCUACUAAGGUCUGUGUAUGUAGGCUGACCAGUCCUCUACUAAGGUCGGUGUAUGUAGGCUGACCAGUCCUGUACUAAGGUCAGUGUAUGUAGGCUGACCAGUCCUGUACUUAGGUCGGUGUAUGUAGGCUGACCAGUCCUGUACUAAGGUCGGUGUAUGUAGGCUGACCAGUCCUCUACUUAGGUCGGUGUAUGUAGGCUGACCAGUCCUGUACUUAGGUCGGUGUAUGUAGACUGACCAGUCCUGUACUAAGGUCGGUGUAUGUAGGUUGACCAGUCCUGUACUUAGGUCGGUGUAUGUAGACUGACCAGUCCUGUACUAAGGUCAAUGUAUGUAGGCUGACCAGUCCUGUACUUAGGUCGGUGUAUGUAGACUGACCAGUCCUCUACUUAGGUCGGUGUAUGUAGACUGACCAGUCCUGUACUUAGGUCGGUGUAUUUAGACUGACCAGUCCUGUACUAAGGUCGGUGUAUGUAGGCUGACCAGUCCUCUACUUAGGUCGGUGUAUGUAGACUGACCAGUCCUGUACUAAGGUCAGUGUAUGUAGGCUGACCAGUCCUGUACUUAGAUUGAUGUAUGUAGACUGACCAGUCCUGUACUUAGGUCAGUGUAUGUAGGCUGACCAGUCCUGUACUUAGGUCAGUGUAUGUAGACUGACCAGUCCUGUACUAAGGUCAGUGUAUGUAGGCUGACCAGUCCUGUACUUAGGUCGGUGUAUGUAGGCUGACCAGUCAUGUACUUCGGUGUGUGAUGUAAACCGACCAGUCCCAUACUUAUUAUGAUCAGUAUAGGUUGGCAGACCAGUCCCUUACUUAUGACCACUAUAGGUAGGCCGACCAGUCUCAGGCCAGUGAAGGUCUUUCAUCUUAAAUUUGCAAUCUACAUGUAUUCGUCCUAAUUUUGUAAUCUUCAUGUAUUCAGAAUUGUUUUAAUUUAUUAAUUCCAUUGAUGUCUAUUUGUAAUUUGUUACUUCUUUAUUAGAAAAAAUUCAUAUGCAGAAUAUAUUAAUAUGUACAUGUAUUUUUUUGAAUGAAAACUUUUGUUUCAAUUCUUUGCUGCCAUAAUUUAUGUUGUCUUUUAUUCCAAGUUCUUAUUACUUUUUACUGUUGUUUUCCUGAACACAUACUAAAUACUUUGUACACAACAUUUGUAUCAAGUUAUGUAUACAACACUUUUACUGUUCUUAUAAAACCGUAAACAACACUUGUACUGAUGUUAUGUAUCCAUACAACAUUUACACUUGUGCCUGUGUUAGUGGAUAUAUAUACAUACAUGUACUGAGUACUUCUACAGAGCCGUUUUUGUUCACCAUGGCCCUAACAGUUGAGCUGUUUUUGUUCACCAAGGCCCAAACAGUUGAGCUGUUUUUGUUCGCCAUGACCCAAACAGUUGAGCUGUUUUUGUUUACCAUGGCCCAAACAGUUGAGCUGUUUUUGUUCGCCAUGACCCAAACAGUUGAGCUGUUUUUGUUUACCAUGGCCCAAACAGUUGAGCUGUUUUUGUUUAUUCCUUGCCUAAACAAUUGGACUGUUUUGUUUUUCGUGGCCCCAAACAGUUGGACUGUUUUUGUUUAUCAUGGCCCAAAAAAGUUGCCCUGUAGUAGUAUCAGUGUUGCUGAAACAAGUUUAUCAAACCAGGUCAGACCUAUGAUUUAAUUCUAUCAUUUGGGAGCCUUUACUUUAAGGCCUGUAUUAACAUCAACAGGUUUGUUAAGAUAUACAUGUUUAUCCUAUACCGUGUGCUGUAUACCUUGACUUAGGUGUCUCUACAAUGUAGUAUUUCAAUUAUACAUGAACUAUUUUUUAUUAUAUGGAAGUGUAAAUAUUUGUUUAUAUGCAAAUAUCAUGUAAGAAAUAUGUAUCUGCAGUUAUAAACUAUUCCAAUUUUACUUGUUACAUUCCCGCCGAACAGUGAUAAAAUAUAGUUAUGUAUCCCUAAAUUAUCUCCAUUUCUCACAUCACAGGGUGAACCCAUGGUUGCUAGGGAUGGAAUAACUUCACAGGGUGAACCCAUGGUUGCUAGGGAUGGGAUAAAUCGAUCAAUAAAUCAAUCUCACUCGGGAUGGGGAAAGACAGCUGACACACUCUAUGAUGCCACUCACAAUCGUGUGUAAGGUCAUCACUUUAUGUAGCGUAACCAUGUCACAAAUUGAUAACAUAAUCAAUUUUGAUGCAUAUUUUAAUGAUGGCAUGAUGGAAAAGAUUCACAACACCUUAACUACAACUUACUUUCUUAAGUACAGUAAGUGAGAAAAAUAAUCAAACAUAGGCCUAUACCAUGGACAGAAAUAGCCCAACCCAUAGCAUCUUGCUGACCUGCCAAACUUUCAGCUCGGAUUCAGUCCCCGGAACAGGCACAUGCAAGUUUCUAUUAGUCUUUGAAAGCAACCUGGGAAACAACCUUGAAUUGUUUGCACAAAUUGCUGUCUGUUUACUUAUUGCGUCCCUGUUCCACAGAAAGUUUUUGCAAUGGAAAUAUUCUGUACUGUCUGUUCUGAUUCAAGCCAUAUACUAUACAGAAAUUAAAGGGAAACAUCUGUGUCUCAGAUUGACCGUUACCUCAUAUAUAUUUACAUGUUGUACUUGUUAUAUGCAUACUAAUAUUAAAAAUUAAUAUUAAAAAUGGAAAACUGA